This is a ribosomal RNA of 584 nucleotides. The stretch from base 206 to 359 matches the Rfam family "5.8S ribosomal RNA".
AAAGUUCGUAACAAGGUCUCCGUUGGUGAACCAGCGGAGGGAUCAUUACCGAGUGUAAAAACUCCCAAACCAUUGUGAACCUACCACUGUUGCUUCGGCGGCCUCGCCCCGGGCGCGUUCGCGCGGCCCGGACCCAGGCGUCCGCCGGAGGCUCCAAACUCUUGUCUUUUAGUGUAUUUCUGAGUGGCAUAAGCAAAUAAAUCAAAACUUUCAGCAACGGAUCUCUUGGUUCUGGCAUCGAUGAAGAACGCAGCAAAAUGCGAUAAGUAAUGUGAAUUGCANAAUUCAGUGAAUCAUCGAAUCUUUGAACGCACAUUGCGCCCGCCAGUAUUCUGGCGGGCAUGCCUGUCUGAGCGUCAUUUCAACCCUCAGGACCCGUUCGCGGGACCUGGCGUUGGGGAUCAGCCUGCCCCUGGCGGCGGCUGGCCCUGAAAUCCAGUGGCGGUUCCCUCGCGAACUCCUCCGUGCAGUAAUUAAACCUCUCGCGGCAGGAUAGCGGUUGAACCACGCCGUUAAACCCCCCACUUCUCAAGGUUGACCUCANAUCAGGUAGGAAUACCCGCUGAACUUAAGCAUAUCAAUAA